This 24-nucleotide small RNA is filed under the name Arabidopsis thaliana (thale cress). Lineage: Eukaryota; Viridiplantae; Streptophyta; Magnoliopsida; Brassicales; Brassicaceae. The record is from RNAcentral.
AAGGUGUGCUGAUCUGAGGAUACU